Molecule: ribosomal RNA, 371 nt
Filed under: uncultured organism
Description: bacterial SSU rRNA
Rfam family: Bacterial small subunit ribosomal RNA
Source: RNAcentral
CCGAAGGGGGCUAGCGUUGCUCGGAAUUACUGGGCGUAAAGCGCACGUAGGCGGCCAUGAUAGUCAGAUGUGAAAGGCCUGGGCUCAACCCGGGAAUUGCAUUUGAUACUGCAUGGCUAGAGUCCAAGAGAGGGUAGUGGAAUUCCCAGUGUAGAGGUGAAAUUCGUAGAUAUUGGGAAGAACACCAGUGGCGAAGGCGGCUACCUGGCUUGGUACUGACGCUCAGGUGCGAAAGCGUGGGGAGCGAACAGGAUUAGAUACCCUGGUAGUCCACGCCGUAAACGAUGGGUGCUAGAUGUCGGGCAGCUUGCUGUUCGGUGUCGUAGCUAACGCGUUAAGCACCCCGCCUGGGGAGUACGGCCGCAAGGUUA